This 716-nucleotide ribosomal RNA is filed under the name uncultured soil bacterium. RNAcentral's name for it is "bacterial SSU rRNA". It matches the Rfam family "Bacterial small subunit ribosomal RNA", at positions 28 to 753 of the family's 1533-position model. The record is from RNAcentral.
AAUGAACGUUGGCGGCGUGGAUUAGGCAUGCAAGUCGAGCGAGAAUCCCGGCUUGCCGGGAGGACAGCGGCGAAAGGGACAGUAAUGUGUAGAUCAUCUACUCUCGGGAUCGGGAUAGCUGCGGGAAACUGCAGGUAAUACCGAAUAACAUCUCCGGAUCAAAUGGUGUGAUUCCGCCCGAGGAUGAGUCUGCAUCCUAUUAGCUAGUUGGUGAGGUAACGGCUCACCAAGGCUUUGAUGGGUAGCGGGUGUGAGAGCACGACCCGCGUCACUGGGACUGAGACACUGCCCAGACACCUACGGGUGGCUGCAGUCGAGAAUCUUCGGCAAUGGACGCAAGUCUGACCGAGCGACGCCGCGUGCGGGAUGAAGGCCCUCGGGUUGUAAACCGCUGUCGGAGGGGAUGAAAUCGUGGUGGGUUCUCCCACCUCGUUGACAUAGCCUCAAAGGAAGUGUGGGCUAAGUUCGUGCCAGCAGCCGCGGUAAGACGAACCACGCAAACGUUAUUCGGAAUUACUGGGCUUAAAGGGUGCGUAGGCGGCGCGGAAAGUAGGGUGUGAAAUCCCUCGGCUCAACCGAGGAAUUGCGCCCUAAACUACCGUGCUCGAGGGAGAUAGAGGUGAGCGGAACUUAGGGUGGAGCGGUGAAAUGCGUUGAUAUCCUAAGGAACACCGGUGGCGAAAGCGGCUCACUGGAUCUCUUCUGACGCUGAGGCA